GCGGUGAUAACGGUGGGGGUUCUGAUUUGGGUUUUCAUUGGAAAACACACCAAUGGAUCUCAGUUUGCAAACUUUUGUAAAUUUAGAGACCAUUUCUGAUAUGUUUGAAGAGGGUUUAGAGGGUUUAGUGGUGGCAUACUCCAUCCCUUUGAAAGAUUAAAACCCUAAACUGAGUCAGAUCUAACAAUGAUACGUUGAAAGGAAUAUUUAG
RNAcentral lists this unclassified non-coding RNA (211 nucleotides) under Hevea brasiliensis (rubber tree). The record is from RNAcentral. Lineage: Eukaryota; Viridiplantae; Streptophyta; Magnoliopsida; Malpighiales; Euphorbiaceae.